CUUGGUCAUUUAGAGGAAGUAAAAGUCGUAACAAGGUUUCCGUAGGUGACCUGCGGAAGGAUCAUUAUCGAAAUUGGAGAAAGGGGGGGGGGAAGAUGGGGAAGGGUAGACUGUCGCUGGCUUCAGAGCGAUCUGGAGCAUGUGCACGUCUCUCUUUUCGUCGACCCUCUCUAACACACACACACACCUGUGCACCCUUUGUAGGUCCUCGAGAGAGGGUCUAUGUUUUCUACAUCACACCUAAUGUAUGGCUACAGAAUGUAUCUAGACUGUCGCUCGACCCUGGUCGGGUGGUGGUCGAAUAAAUAAAUACAACUUUCAGCAACGGAUCUCUUGGCUCUCGCAUCGAUGAAGAACGCAGCGAAUUGCGAUAAGUAAUGUGAAUUGCAGAUUUUCAGUGAAUCAUCGAAUCUUUGAACGCACCUUGCGCUCCUUGGUAUUCCGAGGAGCAUGCCUGUUUGAGUGUCAUUCGAAUUCUCAACCAUGUCUUGUAGUGAGGCUUGGCUUGGAGUUGGGGGUUGCUGGCGGCGAAGGUCGUCGGCUCUCCUGAAAAGUAUUAGCAAAGGGCAGCAAGUCUCUGACGUGGCACGGCCUCUUCGACGUGAUAGCGAUCGUCGUGGGCUGGAAGCGUUGGGGACUGCAUGGAUUGUCUUGUUUGCUUCCAAUAUAUCCCCUCACAUCAAGACUUUGAGACUCGAGCGAAGGUUGGCUUAGCUAUUAGUUUGGUCGUGAGGCCAUCGAACGCGGUCCGCUGGGUUUCGAGCUCUCAGGGACUCGAGCGAAAGGUUGGCUUAGCUAUUAGUCGGUCGUGAGGCCGGGCGAACGCGGUCGGGCUGGGUUUCGAGUUCGGGGACUCGAGGAAAGGGUCGGCUUAGCUAUUAGUUGGUCGCGAGGCCAGCGAACGCGGUCGGGCUGGAUUUCGAGUUCCAGGUCUCGUUCUUUUGACACCUUGACC
Molecule: ribosomal RNA, 955 nt
Filed under: Hortiboletus rubellus
Lineage: Eukaryota; Fungi; Basidiomycota; Agaricomycetes; Boletales; Boletaceae
Description: eukaryotic LSU rRNA
Rfam family: 5.8S ribosomal RNA (bases 314-468)
Source: RNAcentral